This 253-nucleotide ribosomal RNA is filed under the name uncultured bacterium. Its description in RNAcentral is "partial 16S ribosomal RNA". It matches the Rfam family "Bacterial small subunit ribosomal RNA", at positions 524 to 776 of the family's 1533-position model. The record is from RNAcentral.
UACGUAGGGUGCAAGCGUUGUCCGGAAUUAUUGGGCGUAAAGAGCUCGUAGGCGGUCUGUCGCGUCUGCUGUGAAAACUCGGGGCUUAACCCCGGGCCUGCAGUGGGUACGGGCAGGCUAGAGUGCGGGAGAGGAGAGUGGAAUUCCUGGUGUAGCGGUGAAAUGCGCAGAUAUCAGGAAGAACACCCGUGGCGAAGGCGGCUCUCUGGAACGCAACUGACGCUGAGACGCGAAAGCGUGGGGAGCAAACAGG